Molecule: long non-coding RNA, 442 nt
Organism: Tupaia belangeri chinensis (Chinese tree shrew)
Lineage: Eukaryota; Metazoa; Chordata; Mammalia; Scandentia; Tupaiidae
Exons: 2
Source: RefSeq, a predicted model, not a curated record
CGAGCUCGAAGCCGGGGACACGCCCCUGGGGCUGGCCAAUAAGGGCGCGGUGAAGGACAGGUGUGUCUCUUCGAGCCAAGCGACCCCGGCCUGCCAAGUUCGCCAACUCGGCUGAACGCAGCGUCUGUUCUCGAGUCUUCACACACAGGCGUCCGCGCCGGGUUUGUGCCACUGGGUGCGAGCGCUUGCUGGUGAGAGACUGGGAAAGCGAGGAAAAACCUCGGAGAGGGAAUGACCACACCUUUUCUCGGGAUUUUGGGACACACGCACACGCCCCAGUGUGAUUCUCAGGCUGGUGUGUCCAGACUGGAAUUUAGGUUAGCCAUGUGGGAAUCCAGCAGUUUCACUACCAGCACCACCUGCUGUUCCACCCGGAAACACUCUUGCCUCACGCUGGGUGUGUAAGGUUGGGAGAUCAAAUAUAGAUUGGACUUGUUAAGUC